UACGUAGGGUGCGAGCGUUGUCCGGAAUUAUUGGGCGUAAAGAGCUCGUAGGCGGUGUGUCGCGUCGGCCGUGAAAACCUGGGGCUCAACUCUGGGCGUGCGGUCGAUACGGGCAUCACUGGAGUUCGGCAGGGGAGACUGGAAUUCCUGGUGUAGCGGUGAAAUGCGCAGAUAUCAGGAGGAACACCGAUGGCGAAGGCAGGUCUCUGGGCCACUACUGACGCUGAGAAGCGAAAGCAUGGGGAGCGAACAGG
Molecule: ribosomal RNA, 254 nt
Filed under: uncultured bacterium
Lineage: Bacteria
Description: partial 16S ribosomal RNA
Rfam family: Bacterial small subunit ribosomal RNA
Source: RNAcentral